This is a long non-coding RNA of Aegilops tauschii subsp. strangulata, 1604 nucleotides long. RefSeq lists it as uncharacterized. The record is from RefSeq and is a predicted model, not a curated record. Lineage: Eukaryota; Viridiplantae; Streptophyta; Magnoliopsida; Poales; Poaceae.
GCGUGCCGCCGGUCGCGCUCGCCGCCGCCCCGCUCGGCGCACCCACCUCGCUCGAGGUUGGGCGAGCGCGGAAGUAGAGUUCGGGACGGCGGAUCGGAAUCCAUCGACCGAUUCUCUCUUUCUCUCCUCUCCCUUGGAUUCCUGUAGGCGGUGGAUCAAUCUUGCCUUCGUGGUGGCGGCAGAACGAGCGCCGUGAGAUCAGGUGGACCUGCUUCUGAUUCCUCCUGGUGCUUGGGACGUUUUCGGCUAGAUUGAUUUACUAGCUACGUCCAAGCAGGCCACUGGAUUGAUUUCAUGAGGCUUACUAGCUACGUCCCAAGCAGGCCAAUCCAAUAUGUUGAUCAAUUUGAUUGUUCUGGCUGGAGGUCAGGAGGUCAGAAGGUGCGUCCUUCACACUAAAUUGUACCCGAAGUUCUACAAUUAGUGCACUGCGGGAGCGUGUACUGCGACUAUUUCUGCACUGCCGAUGAAGGCUUGAUCUUUCCCACAGGUCCACCUUCUUUACCUUUCCGUUCUUUGAACUGGAUAAGUUCUGAUAUUCUAACAUUGAUGGAAAAUCAUUAUCUUCUGUAAAGCCACAUUUCAUUUUAUGAUUUUUAGCAGAAGCUCGCUUCGAGGUCUUGGUGUGGGGCUGCUGGGGAAGGGAAUGUCCUUCUACUUAGUGAAAGUCGUUGUUGCUGAGGCUGAUUUUACCUUCUUUCUAAGUGUUCUAUUUUAUUAGUGCAAUUGGUUCGAGUUAAACUAACAUCCAUCGUACAAAUAUUUGUGGGACAUAUUCAGGUAAAUUUACCAUGUUCUGUUUUCAUUACCCAGCGCUAAAAUGUAGAUGUUAUGAUGACCAAUGACCAUAAACUUUUCUCAAGAAAUCUGGAAAGAAGCGAGGAUUCUCAAGUAAGAUAAGUCUGCUUACAAAAAUUUGCCUACUGGAAAGUAGAUAAGAGACUCAUGAAGUAAGAAUACAUGCCUACAUAUUAUACAUAGCAGGCUUCUGACUUCUCUGAUUCUGCAAGCCUUGAGGCUGUGAAACAUCUAUGCUAGGUCGCCACACUUCUGCCACCUUCAUUUGAUGAGGUUCAGCGUUCACUACUAUGAAAGAAGAAGGCAUAUAUUUUCCUUGUGGAAUUUCCAGUAGAAUGGCAGUGAGAACGAGUAAAAAUCUACAACAGUAUGACUGUAUGGUUCUCACUCAAAGUAGAGGCCCAACAAACUUUUUUGAAGUAGGAGUCGAAAACUACAAAUCCAUCUAUUCCUAGAAUGGAGCUGGUUGGAGUUGAGCCUACAAUUGAGCGGGUAGUUCGGUGGCACCGACAUCCAGCUGAAAGUUUUAUAGGAGGGUUAGUAAAGCAAAUUUGUUCAUGAGGAAAUGUGCCAGCAAAACAUUGAGUCAGAGUGCAAGACAAAUGCUCUUAACAGUUUUUUUGGUCGCUUUUCUUUAAUUACAAUUCUUAUUAUUUUUAGUUGGCAUUGAUGUACAAAAGAAAAUCCUGUGCCUUUUUUGUCUCUCAUUGACCAUUGUAUUUUUGAGUCAUAUCAGUCUAUGUAAAAGAAUUCAGUACCUUAUGUUUUGUAUAUUUGGAAAUGUCUAAAGGCGUGGUGUUAUAUAA